ACCUUCGGGCCUCACGCGAUGAGAUGAGCCGAUGCCGGAUUAGCUAGUUGGCGGGGUAAAGGCCCACCAAGGCGACGAUCCGUAGCUGGUCUGAGAGGAUGAUCAGCCACACUGGAACUGAGACACGGUCCAGACUCCUACGGGAGGCAGCAGUGGGGAAUAUUGGACAAUGGGGGCAACCCUGAUCCAGCCAUGCCGCGUGUGUGAAGAAGGCCUUCGGGUUGUAAAGCACUUUUGUUGGGGAAGAAACCGGCCGGGUUAAUACCCUGGUUGAAUGACGGUACCCAAAGAAUAAGCACCGGCUAACUUCGUG
This 313-nucleotide ribosomal RNA is filed under the name uncultured bacterium. RNAcentral describes it as "bacterial SSU rRNA". It matches the Rfam family "Bacterial small subunit ribosomal RNA", at positions 202 to 507 of the family's 1533-position model. The record is from RNAcentral.